CCUACGGGUGGCAGCAGUGAGGCAUAUUGGUCCAUGGACGAGAGUCUGAACCAGCCAAGUAGCGUUAAGGAUGACUGCCCUAUGGGUUGUAAACUUCUUUUAUAUGGGAAUAAAAUGUUCAACGUGGGGGAUUUUGUAUGUACCAUAUGAAUACGGAUCGGCUAACUCCGUGCCAGCAGCCGCGGUAAGACGGAGGAUCCGAGCGUUAUCCGGAUUUAUUGGGUUUAAAGGGCGCGUAGGUGGAUUGUUAAGUCAGUUGUGAAAGUUUGCGGCUCAACCGUAAAAUUGCAGUUGAAACUGGCAGUCUUGAGUACAGUAGAGGUGGGCGGAAUUCGUGGGGUAGCGGUGAAAUGCUUAGAGAUCACGAAGAACUCCGAUUGCGAAGGCAGUUCACUGGACUGCAACUGACACUGAGGCUCGAAAGUGUGGGUAUCAAACAGGAUUAGAUACCCCAGUAGUC
This 460-nucleotide ribosomal RNA is filed under the name uncultured bacterium. RNAcentral describes it as "partial 16S ribosomal RNA". It matches the Rfam family "Bacterial small subunit ribosomal RNA", at positions 338 to 795 of the family's 1533-position model. The record is from RNAcentral.